ACUCCUACGGGAGGCAGCAGUGGGGAAUUUUGGACAAUGGGGGCAACCCUGAUCCAGCCAUGCCGCGUGAGUGAAGAAGGCCUUCGGGUUGUAAAGCUCUUUCGGUGGGAACGAAACGGUUACAGCUAACACCUGUGACUAAUGACGGUACUCACAGAAGAAGCACCGGCUAACUACGUGCCAGCAGCCGCGGUAAUACGUAGGGUGCGAGCGUUAAUCGGAAUUACUGGGCGUAAAGCGUGCGCAGGCGGUUACUUAAGUCAGGUGUGAAAGCCCUGGGCUUAACCUAGGAAUUGCGCUUGAGACUGGGUAGCUUGGAGUGUGGCAGAGGGAGGUGGAAUUCCACGUGUAGCGGUGAAAUGCGUAGAGAUC
RNAcentral lists this ribosomal RNA (372 nucleotides) under uncultured bacterium. RNAcentral's name for it is "bacterial SSU rRNA". It matches the Rfam family "Bacterial small subunit ribosomal RNA", at positions 335 to 698 of the family's 1533-position model. The record is from RNAcentral.